CGCUAAUACCGCAUAUUCUGUGAGCAGGAAAGCAGGGGAUCGCAAGACCUUGCGCUCUGGGAGCGGCCGAUGUCGGAUUAGCUAGUUGGUGGGGUAAAGGCCUACCAAGGCGACGAUCCGUAGCGGGUCUGAGAGGAUGAUCCGCCACACUGGGACUGAGACACGGCCCAGACUCCUACGGGAGGCAGCAGUGGGGAAUUUUGGACAAUGGGCGGAAGCCUGAUCCAGCCAUGCCGCGUGAGUGAAGGAGGCCUUCGGGUUGUAAAGCUCUUUCGGCCGGGAAGAAAUCGCAUGGGUGAAUACCCUGUGUGGAUGACGGUACCGGAAUAAGAAGCACCGGCUAACUACGUG
RNAcentral lists this ribosomal RNA (351 nucleotides) under uncultured bacterium. RNAcentral's name for it is "bacterial SSU rRNA". It matches the Rfam family "Bacterial small subunit ribosomal RNA", at positions 161 to 507 of the family's 1533-position model. The record is from RNAcentral.